RNAcentral lists this transfer RNA (74 nucleotides) under Alosa alosa (allis shad). RNAcentral describes it as "tRNA-OTHER". Lineage: Eukaryota; Metazoa; Chordata; Actinopteri; Clupeiformes; Clupeidae. The record is from RNAcentral.
GCAGUCGUGCCCUACUGGUUAGGGCUUCAGGCUUGUAACCGGAGGGAUGCCGGUUCGAUCCCCGACCAGUAGGA